This 254-nucleotide ribosomal RNA is filed under the name uncultured bacterium. RNAcentral's name for it is "partial 16S ribosomal RNA". It matches the Rfam family "Bacterial small subunit ribosomal RNA", at positions 524 to 776 of the family's 1533-position model. The record is from RNAcentral.
GACGUAGGGUCCAAGCGUUGUCCGGAUUUACUGGGCGUAAAGAGCGCGUAGGCGGUCUGUUAAGUGCACGAGUGAAAUCCCUGGGCUCACCUCAGGAACUGCUCUGCAUACUGGCAGACUGGAGGGUCGGAGAGGUUUGUGGAAUUCCUGGUGUAGCGGUGAAAUGCGUAGAUAUCUGGAGGAACACCGGUGGCGAAGGCGGCAUCCUGGACCGACACUGACGCUGAGGCGCGAAAGCUAGGGGAGCAAACGGG